RNAcentral lists this ribosomal RNA (415 nucleotides) under uncultured soil bacterium. RNAcentral's name for it is "bacterial SSU rRNA". It matches the Rfam family "Bacterial small subunit ribosomal RNA", at positions 26 to 424 of the family's 1533-position model. The record is from RNAcentral.
AGGAUCAACGCUGGCGGCGUGCCUCAGACAUGCAAGUCGAACGAUUAAACUUUCCUUCGGGAAAGAUAUAAAGUGGCGCACGGGUGAGUAACACGUAAGUAAUCUACCUUCGAGUGGGGAAUAACAGUCGGAAACGACUGCUAAUACCGCAUAAUGCAGCGGCAUCGCAAGAUGAUAGUUGUUAAAGGAUUUAUUCGCUUUGAAGAGGAGCUUGCGGCAGAUUAGCUAGUUGGUAAGGUAACGGCUUACCAAGGCUACGAUCUAGUAACCGUCUAAGAGGACGGUCGGUCACACUGACACUGAAUAACGGGGUCAGACUACCGUACGGGACGGCAGCAGGUCGGGUAAGUUUGGGGCUAAGUGGGACGAAAGCCUAGACCAGCAACGCCGCGUAGAAGAUAGAGUUAUUCGGUAU